This 253-nucleotide ribosomal RNA is filed under the name uncultured bacterium. RNAcentral describes it as "partial 16S ribosomal RNA". It matches the Rfam family "Bacterial small subunit ribosomal RNA", at positions 524 to 776 of the family's 1533-position model. The record is from RNAcentral.
UACGAAGGGGGCUAGCGUUGUUCGGAAUUACUGGGCGUAAAGGGCUCGUAGGCGGCCAACUAAGUCAGACGUGAAAUCCCUCGGCUUAACCGGGGAACUGCGUCUGAUACUGGUUGGCUUGAAUCCGGGAGAGGGAUGUGGAAUUCCAGGUGUAGCGGUGAAAUGCGUAGAUAUCUGGAGGAACACCGGUGGCGAAGGCGGCAUCCUGGACCGGUAUUGACGCUGAGGAGCGAAAGCCAGGGGAGCAAACGGG